AGGAUAUUAAGGUUUAAAGAUAAAGCUUCUAACUUUCUUCUUAAGCAGUUAAAUUCUGUUUAUAUCCUA
This 69-nucleotide transfer RNA is filed under the name Tetraloides nigrifrons. RNAcentral's name for it is "tRNA-Ser". The record is from RNAcentral. Lineage: Eukaryota; Metazoa; Arthropoda; Malacostraca; Decapoda; Tetraliidae.